GUUCCACAAGGCUGAACCGCUUCUGCCUCAUCAGCAGGAAUCCUGUUAAGAGGAAACCUUAUUUCCAACGUAAUUAUUCCCACAGAAUUUUACGCUUUUACUUUAAAACUGUUACUUUAAUGACAGUUACUUUAAUGAGGAAUCAAUGGUGCAACACAAGCCGUGAAAGACCCUCAAGUACUUUUGAGAUACCUCGGGAACCAAACGGAGCCACGUGCAGGGGGGUCCUCUGAGCCUGGCUCGACCCCGGCCCUCACACGCCCAGACGCAGGCGCGGCACACGCCCCGCCCCUCGCUGUGGUAUUCCUCGGACACCUACGGCGGAGGGGUCUUCCGUCGCCCUACUACGCAAGCGAGUUUACAGCCAAUUCCGAAGCAGAGACUUGGUAGGUGCGGUCGACGGAAACGUGAGAUGAUGGACAACACUGUUGGAUACCAGGAAGGCAUGUCAAAAAAAGAAGAGGACAAGGCUCGACAUUGAUCUUCCCGGAGAGCCGCCAAUGAUGUGGCUAACAAGACUGACGAUCAGCAACUACCCCGAACCAGCUCCAAGGACCAACAAAGCCAAACCGCCCACUUGGGAUCAAUUGAAGAAAUUGACCAUUGAAGGGGAAAAAUUGGUCAAAGAACAGGGACAGCCUUUGACCUCGGCUACCUUGUUUUUGGCUAUGUUACCUGUGGUAACUACCACGGUAGGUGCCAAUCAUACUAAGAGGCAUAUGUGCCCAAUCUUCCCCUAUUAAGACCAAUUACGUGGGAAGAUUCUUCUGUUCCAGUUUUCAUAAAUGACUCUUCUUGGUUACCAGAACCUUUUGACCCAAGCUUUCCUUUAUAACCAGCAGAAGAGGGCCAACAACUUUCAAAUGUUAGUGUUAAUUAUACUGUGGGAACAGAUCUUACACCUAUAUGUAUGGGAGUGGAAACUCAUUGUCUUAAAAGAGGAUUACAACGUUGGCUAUCUAUAGUUAAAGAACCUCAAGGGAACAAAACUCAUUUUUUCUUAUUAGAGGCAUUUUCAUUUAAUAUCACAGGAUAAAAUACUAUUAUCCACCCCAUAUACCUAACUGUAUUACUUUUAUAAAAUCUGGAAUAGAACAUUGGGUACAAUGGAAAUUAUAUAAAGCUAAAACUGGACAUAUUAUGGCCAAUACUUCUGAUGGAGAAAUUAUUGAUUGGAGUCCCAGAGGAUAUCCUUUGGAUAAAAAUAAUAAUUUGGAUUUGCCUAUAUUGUUAAAUAAUACUUUAGACUCCAUGAAUAACAUUGUUAAUAGCUCUGUAUAUUGGCAUGGAGGGAGUUUCUCUCCUCCCUUACCUUAAUCAAUUACCUUAAUUGCCUUUACAUUCAGAAUUGUGGAAAAUAUCAGCUGCCUUCCAACCAAUAACAGCAUGGAAGGGGCAAUUUAAUUUGACAGUAUCAGGUCAUUCCUUACAUUUUUAUAAAAAUUCAACCCAUUGGAUUAAAGCACGUGUUCAUUUACCUUUCAUAUUUUUGAUAGGACCUACUUUUUAUAAUGCCUCUUCUGGGUUACUUACCUAUCAAAAUUGUUUUUUACACUUGUAUCAAUUCUUCCCUCCAGUUUCAGAAUGACUAUUCUCUAUAUAUUCUAAAAACCAGAUCUGGAGGCUUCCUGUAAAAAUGAAUAGACCAUAGCAGGAUAGCCCCAUAGUCUAUAUUGUAGAACAGAUCCUUAAGAAAGUAUUAAAAUGCACUAAACGGCUUAUUGGAUUGUUAAUUGCUGCCAUUUUAGGAAUUAUUGCUGUAGCUACUACAGGAGCAGCAUUACAUCAGAGUGUACAGACUGUGCACUUUGUGCAAGAAUGGCAUAAAGACUCUGAUGUUCUUUGUUCCACCCAAAGACAAAUAGAUGGAAAAUUAGCUGCACAAAUGCCUGAUUUACAACAGGUUGUAUACAACUAGGUGAUCAAGUGAAUACUCUUCAAAAACAGAUUUGUCUUAAGUGUGAUUGGAAUAUUACUCCUUUUUGUGUCACUCCUCAUAAAUAUAAUGAAUCAUCGUUUCAUUGGGACAAAGUUAAACAACACCUCUUAAGGUAAUCUAUCUCUGGAUAUUAAUAACUUACAACAAGAGAUUAUGGAAACUUUCUCACAGAAACUACACCUUUUGACGGGGGAGCCUGGUGGCUGCCGUCUGUGGGAUCACACAGAGUUGGACACGACUGAAGUGACUUAGCAGCAGCAAUCUGCUGGAAGUAGCAGCAGAUGGAAUUUCUCAAUUAAAUCCCAUUCCUCACUUGAAAACUAUUGGAGGAUCAAUGGCUGGUUUUAUGUUAAUUUUUUCUGUUUCUACAUAGUCUGACAGCAAAUCACCAAGAAAGUCAACGGACAACAACAGCAAUUAGCAACUAUUGCUUUGGCUUCUGUGGUCAACAAUAAUCAUAAAAAAUAAGCCUCUAAAAAUAAAAAGGGGAUAUGUAGAGAAUAUGCUAUGCACAGGCCUGUACUAUAAUUAAAAGGGCUUCUUUGAAGAAUAAGAAUGACUUUCUUAUCACCCCCAGGCAAAGGGCUGGGAGCAGUAAAAAGUACAUCGUGGAAAAACAUCUUAAAAACAAGGUGUUGAAGUACUGAUGUGACUGAUGGAAAACCAUUAGUGACUGUUCUCAGACCAGAGACUUGAGGGAGUUGCUGAGGAAGGUGGUCACUAGCUGAAGGGCUAAACACAAUCAUGAAAGGCCUGAAGGUUUGAACAUUAACCAGAACAUUGAGGACUGUUCAUUGUAUAUAGUUGUCCCUGAUCUGAGAUUGUAAAAAACAGAUGUCUUUAGAGUAUGUACAAGGAAGUAGAUGUUAACAAUAAAAAGCAUUCAAGGAUCAGGAUCUUGGCUUUUGCCUGCGAAUGGCAUCAGCCCCCUGAUCCCCACCUUA
Long non-coding RNA from Bubalus bubalis (water buffalo), 2883 nucleotides. RefSeq lists it as uncharacterized. The record is from RefSeq and is a predicted model, not a curated record. Lineage: Eukaryota; Metazoa; Chordata; Mammalia; Artiodactyla; Bovidae. The transcript has 2 exons.